UGUACAUCUUUUUUUUUAGUU
Molecule: non-coding RNA, 21 nt
Filed under: Caenorhabditis elegans
Lineage: Eukaryota; Metazoa; Nematoda; Chromadorea; Rhabditida; Rhabditidae
Source: RNAcentral